CAUGGGUAAGACUGCCGACCUGACUGCUGUCCAGAAGGCCAUCAUUGACACCCUCAAGCGAGAGGUAUGUCUGAAGAUUUGCAGCAAGAAUUAAUGGACCUGUGUGAACAGCUGCCUAGUUUGCAAGCAUUGAAUGAUCAGCUGAGAAGUCGAGCAUCACCAUCCAGUGGACAUGUUUCAAAUCCUUCUGCCUCCACUAAUUUCAAUACUCCUCCAAUGUCUCUUAACAGGGUGCUGUAUGUUCUUAGAGGGAGAAAGUGCCCACGUUUCUAUGGACAUUCUGAUUCAUCAACUAAUAACUGGCCACAAACUGUAGUGAAACCUUUAUCACUUGUACAAGCAGUUUUAUUACAAUUCACAGAUACCAGCGUUCACAUAAAAUAAAUAUCCAAAACCACAUCCAAAGACCAACCUCAUUCAAGGAAAAAGAAUAACACCUUUGACACGCCACAGGGCACAACUAUCAGUGAGAAAAUAUACAACCACCAAUUGAAAUUCAAACCCCAAUGCAGCACAGCACUCGAAAGGAAAUACGGAUCACUAGAAACCACAGAAGAAUCCCCACCACCUCACCAGUGCCAGUCACACCCAUGGAGGAUACCCUGCAGCCACCAAUAAGUCAGAAAGGAGGCCAAUUUAAAAAAAAAGAUUAUUGUAAGUACCUUGAAUUGAGCAUUAAAUUCUUUAUUCCAAUCAAAUACCUUUUAAAAUAACUGGAUCUAAGAAAGAGGAAUUAAAAACCAACCGGAUGGUUCUCCUUCAAGAGACCUAUAAAACAAACCUUUAUGAAACACACCAUCUUCAUAAAUGUUCAUAAAUGUUCAUGUUCAUGCACACUCUUGUUUGUAACAUUGAUAGAUGAAUGAGAUGAGAGAAGCUAUACUACUGUGAAUCUAUUUAUAGCAGGUGCAGAUGUAAUUAAGCUACCCCACCGACUUAUGGGAAGUGUAGUCCCGAACUCAUUCAUCACCCUGUUGCCAUCACAAAUCUAGUUCUGUC
Molecule: long non-coding RNA, 999 nt
Organism: Cyprinus carpio carpio
Lineage: Eukaryota; Metazoa; Chordata; Actinopteri; Cypriniformes; Cyprinidae
Source: Ensembl